Molecule: ribosomal RNA, 32 nt
Filed under: Alkekengi officinarum (Japanese lantern)
Lineage: Eukaryota; Viridiplantae; Streptophyta; Magnoliopsida; Solanales; Solanaceae
Source: RNAcentral
GGAUGCGAUCAUACCAGCACUACCGCACCGGA